Long non-coding RNA from Octopus sinensis (East Asian common octopus), 180 nucleotides. RefSeq lists it as uncharacterized. The record is from RefSeq and is a predicted model, not a curated record. The transcript has 3 exons. Lineage: Eukaryota; Metazoa; Mollusca; Cephalopoda; Octopoda; Octopodidae.
ACACACUGUGUCACGCUGAAUCUCCCCCGAGAACUACGUUAAGUGUACCACGUGUCUGUGGAGUACUCAGCCACUUGCACGUUAAUUUCACGAGCAGGCUGUUCCGUUGAUCGGAUCAACUGGAAUCCUCGUCGUUGCAACCGACAGAGUGCCGUAGUAAUACAUUCUUGGUCCUUAUCC